ACGGAGGGGGCUAGCGUUGCUCGGAAUUACUGGGCGUAAAGCGCACGUAGGCGGCGAUGCAAGUUAGGUGUGAAAGGCCUGGGCUUAACCCAGGGACUGCACUUGAUACUGCAUUGCUAGAGUCCAAGAGAGGGUAGUGGAAUUCCCAGUGUAGAGGUGAAAUUCGUAGAUAUUGGGAAGAACACCAGUGGCGAAGGCGGCUACCUGGCUUGGUACUGACGCUCAGGUGCGAAAGCGUGGGGAGCAAACAGG
Molecule: ribosomal RNA, 252 nt
Filed under: uncultured bacterium
Lineage: Bacteria
Description: partial 16S ribosomal RNA
Rfam family: Bacterial small subunit ribosomal RNA
Source: RNAcentral